ACUGUCCAGAUAGACAUGUAACCACAUGAAAGCCUGUUGGAUGAUUUUGAGAAAGCACUGACGGCUUUCAGUGUUUUAAUUUGUUCAGUGUAGCAUUGAUUAAAAUAAAAGACACUGCUGGAAACAAGAGGGUUUUUUCCCUUUGAGUAAGAGAGAGACAGAAAAUUUCAGUACUUUCUGAAGCGGCUGACGCUGCUUUGUACUGUGCUAACAGCUUAAAGGAGGAAAAAGAAGACUAGUGUUGUUUCCUAUCAGAUUACAUGAUUUAUUAGAUUACAAGACUUAAAAAAAUCCCCUGCUGUGCCAGCAAGUGAGAGGUAAACUCCUACCCCAGAGGUAGUUAUGUUCCACUUCCUCAGACCCUCUCUGCACAAGUUGUUUACUGCAAAGAGGCGGCUGCUGCUCUUGUGUGGCAGGACGUUUCCUAGAGCCUGAGAGGGGUCUGGCAGCAGCCACUGGCACUCAAAUUUAAUUUCUGGGUUAUUUUUGCUCAGUGUUGCAAGGAGUAACUUGGCAUCCAUCAGACUCAGCCUGAAGUAAAACUCUUAGUGCAGGCAAGUAGUGAGACAAACUGUGAGAUAAAGGCUAUUGUUAGAAAUGAGAUUUUUUUCCUCUGUGAGAAACCCUAGGGCCAUGGAGUGGAUGAAGAACCCUCACGUGCCAAAGAAGGGCUGACAACAUUAUUUCAUUUGUCUAUGGGCUCUCUUUCACUGCUGAUGCCAGUGGAUUUACGGCAAUACUGUGCCAUCAAAAUGAGCAGAGUUCAGUCAAGCUGCUGAUUUGGCUGAAAAGUAACCUUGAAAGAAAAAAAUAAAGUUUUCAACUACUUCCUCUGA
Long non-coding RNA from Pseudopipra pipra, 836 nucleotides. RefSeq lists it as uncharacterized. The record is from RefSeq and is a predicted model, not a curated record. The transcript is spliced from 2 exons. Lineage: Eukaryota; Metazoa; Chordata; Aves; Passeriformes; Pipridae.